This is a small nuclear RNA of Suncus etruscus (white-toothed pygmy shrew), 107 nucleotides long. The record is from RefSeq and is a predicted model, not a curated record. NCBI's taxonomy places the organism in Eukaryota, Metazoa, Chordata, Mammalia, Eulipotyphla, Soricidae.
GUACUCUCUUUGGCAGCACAUAUACUAGAACUAGAACAACCCAAAAAAGAUUAGCAUGGCCCCAGUGCAAGAAUGACACGCAGGGCCCGGAGAGAUAGCACAGCUGC